RNAcentral lists this ribosomal RNA (440 nucleotides) under uncultured bacterium. RNAcentral's name for it is "partial 16S ribosomal RNA". It matches the Rfam family "Bacterial small subunit ribosomal RNA", at positions 338 to 795 of the family's 1533-position model. The record is from RNAcentral.
CCUACGGGUGGCAGCAGUGGGGGAUAUUGCACAAUGGGGGGAACCCUGAUGCAGCGACGCCGCGUGAGUGAAGAAGUAUCUCGGUGUGUAAAGCUCUAUCAGCAGGGAAGAAAAUGACGGUACCUGAUGAAGAAGCCCCGGCUAACUACGUGCCAGCAGCCGCGGUAAUACGUAGGGGGCAAGCGUUAUCCGGAUUUACUGGGUGUAAAGGGAGCGUAGACGGCAGAGCAAGGCAGGAGUGAAAUGCCGGGGCUCAACCCCGGAACUGCUUUUGAAACUGUGCAGCUGGAGUGCAGGAGAGGUAAGUGGAAUUCCUGGUGUAGCGGUGAAAUGCGUAGAUAUCAGGAGGAACACCAGUGGCGAAGGCGGCUUACUGGACUGUAACUGACGUUGAGGCUCGAAAGCGUGGGGAGCAAACAGGAUUAGAUACCCUUGUAGUC